UAUAUACACAUAUAUAUUUAAAAAACCUGCAUUCUUUUCUUUAAAAGAAAAUACUACUGCAAGAAAAAAGGAAUGCAUUACCUGUAUGUGAUCUCCAAAAUCAUGUGGUAAAACCAGGACUGGUCAAAUUCUUGAUGCCGUACAUUUGAUCUCAUAUAAAUAAGAUAAGCACAAGUUUAUGGUUAGCUGAGUAAAGCUGACCCACUUGAUUAUAUAUACAUUAUAGAUAUAUAUUUAUAUAUUCUGUAUAGAUAUACAUAUAUAAUACACAACAUUCAUACAGUGGAAGCAAAGUUUGAUUAAGUUAUAUUAACUGGGAAUUUGGAUGUGAUGUUGUGUUCCAUUUGGAGGAAAAAUUUCUGUGUUAUUCAGCAGCAUUUGUUAUAAAAGAUGAAGAAAGAAGGUAUUUCAUCAAAACAAGCCAUGAAGGAAUAAGAUGAUGAAGGUUUGAAACAUUUUGAAGAGACAACUAAAUUACAUGCAAUAUAUAUGUAUGUACUUCUGCUGAGUUGUAUUCCUAGUUAAAGCAUUGCAUUAAACAGAGAAUUAUAAUAGUAAAAUUGUGUUUGAAUGUGGUAUUUCUACUUAUUUGUGGUAUUUCUACUUAUCAGUACUGACUGAACUAGUCUGUAAAUAUAAUGGUGAUAGAUGGAGAAAAAUUGUUUUCCUACAGUAGCCACAGGCUGAGAAUGCCUGUAGUAACCAGGAAAAAAAAAUUCUAAGCUUCUUUUCCCUGACUUCCUUGGCAAGUGUGAAGUUCAAGAGAGGUCUGAAGUACAACUUCACCUUUUCUUGUUUUGUCCACAUCUUUGUUCCUCCUUCAGAAAAUGUUACCUUUAACCACAAUGUCCCUAGAGCAUUCUGACAAGGGCCUCCAAUAAAAGCAUUCCUCCAGAUAUUUCUGUCAUCCAAGUAUUGAAAGGGAAUAGGUAAGAUUCUUUUAUAGCUGUCCUGUUAUAUCCAAGCAAAAUAAAUUUCUAACUUUGAGGGGAAAUGACACCACUAACAACCAAAUACUUGUUGAGUUCCCUUUGCCUUAUGAAUGCAAACCUGUCUGCAUGGCAUGCUCAGAAAGCAUCUAGGAGUAGAGAUAAAGAAAUAAGGCGCAUAUUCAGCUUCUCUGGGUCCCAGGACACUGUUCACCACCACUUCAGAAGCAGACAGGGCUCAGAAGCAGCAAAGGGAGUGAGUGGGGUGACUGGAGACCAUGGCUGCCCAGGUAAAUCUAGCUUUUGGAGCACAGUCUAUCAGUUUGACAAGUGAUUGAAGAGGGGGUCUCUUAAGCAUGGUGAGUACAUCAGCUCUGUCAGGGUCAGGAUACUUUUGUCCAGCUGCUACAGAAUGAGAAGAAGCCAUUUUAAUAAAGUAGCCUAUGUUGCCUUCUUUUUCCUAAUUUUUCCUUUCUAAAAUUUGAGGAUCUUCACUGGUUCCACAUUUACAGGACUUUACACCUGCCUCAACCUCUCUGUCAAAGAUUUUCUGCCUCUGCCAUUUGCUCUACUCUUACUUCAGCCCAAGCUCACCUUCAGCCAUUUCACCAUCCAUCUUCACCUGCACCUUUCCACAAUGAAAGCGAGAAAAGCCAGUUUUUCAUCUGCCUUUGUCUCAGAGAAGUCAGAUAAAUUGAUGUGUUAGAGUAGAUUUAUUUACUUGGCCUGUAUUGAAACCCCCUUACACCCUGCAGAGCAGAGACUCUACUGGUAGGUUGUAAGGUGAGAAAAUUUUAAGGAGUUGACCCUGAUGGUCAAAAGAUAUUUGUGAGAAUCACAAUAGAGACACAAACAGGUACCUGAAAUCUUUUCCCAAGACACAGCUAUUUUCAGCAUGCACAUUUCUUAUUUCUUACUAAGAUCCACAUUGUAGAAACAUAUAGCUAAUGCUACCUGUAAAUUCAGAGCACUGAUGCUAAACUUUUGUUUAUCUUCCCACACAUAUUUUGAAAACAUUUUUGUCAGUGCUGUUUCUACACAGAAAAGAUACAUGGAUAUGCCAGAUUACCUACCUGAGCCAUUCACUCAGACUCACAGUUUCACCAUCAGGCUGUGAGCAAAGUUACCUUUUUAUUUAAAAGAGUAGAAUCAUGCUUAGCACAAUAAAAAUUACCACCCCAAUCUUCAAGUACAGCCAGUAAUAUUUGCAGUUAAUGUAAUACUUAAUAAUGUACAUCAUCUCCCCUCUGGAGAGACAUUUUGAGACAAUGGCCACUAGUUCAGAAGUGUCUUUGUUAAGUGCUCCUCUUUGAGGCCAUUUAUUAGGAAAAAUUAGGUAAAGUGUAGAUACCUACUUCACCUUGAGUUCUGGGAGCACCCUAAGAAAAUCAAUACAGGGAAAUGCUGCUAUUUAGUAAAUCCAUUAACACUGUUUCUGGCCUUUUGCCAAGCAUUACAUGCACUGUCUAGACGUGGGAACCCACUUGGCAGCACCAGGAUAUUGACACCUUCUCCAUGGAGCUUGCCAACUUCACUUCUGCCAACACACAGAAUGAGGGAAAAGAAUAAAAUCAGUAAGAAUGAUAUAGAAGGGUUUGAGAGACAAAAAUAUCCUUUUCCUUUUGCUCUCAAUCUUUGUUCUGUCUUGCCACCCUCUCCUUCCUUAUUUUGGUCCUCCUCCCUCUCCCUAUCCCUUUCUUCCUUGCCUGUCUCAUCGGCCUCUCCAGGUUUCUCUGUCUCAUUAACAGCUUGCUAAAGGUGCUAAAUAAACCACUACGGAAUCAAAGCCUUUGGCUUAAAAAUGCAGAGCAAUGUAAGAGGAAAAGAGACAAGAAGGAAUGCCUCAAAGAACUCUGGAGUUAAUUCAUUUAGUUUAGGAACCAAAGAUUUUCCCUGACUCCCCCCAUAAUCACUACUAUCAUUUUGCCUGCAGUUGAAAAACACGUAUAAACAGGGAUGAGCAGAGAUUGUUUAAUCCAUAUGGCACAGGAGCAAUACUCCUAAACAGAAGUAUUGCCAUUGGCAGCUGCACCAAAUCAUUUUCUGGAACUAUAGACACAAUGGAUCUGUGGUUUUGCAAAAUUCAUCCUACUAAAAUGCAACCUAAUAAAAGAAUAGGGGACAAGGUCAAAGUGGUGAAAUCUCUCCAGCACAGAUCUACCUUAGCUCCCAUCACAGGUGGCGUGCAGGGCCAGGAGUGCCAGGAGCAGUGCCAGGAGCCCAAAGGAGCAAGAACUCUGUAAAAGUUGCACUCUUUGGGACAAAUUAAGCUACUCUGGGGUUGUCUGGCCAGUGUUACAUAUCUUUCAACAGGAAGGUUAGGCUUCAGCAUUCCUGCCAGUAGCCAAGAGAUAAGGAUGAGAGGAAAAUUCAGUGUGUACGGGCUUAGUUAUUAAAUUAGUGGAUGUUCAGGAUGUUCCACAGAAAAUAUAAACAAGACAUAUCAAAUAUGGACAUCAAAUCCCAGAUUUUGUUAUGCUUUCUUUCUAAAAUGAAAAACAAAUAAACCAAAAGUUUCCAAGUGUUUUAAUUGCUAUAUUUUCCAUUACAGGGAAAAUAAUUUCCUUGUAUGGAAAAAAAGUCACUAUAAUUUUAUAAAAUGGAGGGUUGAAGUCUUUUGUUCAUGCUGAGAAGACAUAACAACUAGACAACUACAAAAUAAUGGUUCGGAGCUUUCUCGUGAAACUUUUUUCCUGCUAUAAAAUGCUGAUUUGUUCUCUUUUUUUCCUUUGUGGGGAGGUGGGGUGGGUAAUGCAAGAGAAGACUGAGGGAAGACCUCACUGCAGUUAUAACUUCCUCAUAAGGGGAAGAGGAGGUGCAGACACUUUGCUCUGCGGUGAGCAGUGAGAAGACCUGAGGGAAUGGCCUGAAGUUGUGUCAGAGAAGGUGUAGGCCGGAUAUCAGGAAAAUAUUCUUCUUCCAGGGGGUGGUCAGACACUGGAACAGGCUCCUCAGGGAGGUGGUCAGAGCACCAGCCUCACAGAGCUCAAGAAGCUUUUAAACAAUGCUCUUGGGCACAUGGUGUGACUCUUAGGGAUGGUGCUGUGCAAGGUCAGGAGUUGGACCCAGUGAUCCUUGAGGGUCCCUUCCAACUCAGCUUAUUCUGUGAAUCUGUGAUUUCAAAGGAACUCCUGGAUUUGAUAUGCUCUAAGAAAAAAGGGGGAUAAGUUUUAUGGCUUAUGCACAGCCUUGAGCAGUGGCCAACCAGAGACAUGCAUCAGGCUAGAGCAAGCAUAAGCAGGUUUCCAUAGCAUUCCACGGAGAACAGGAAUGACAAUGAUUUUUGUUCUGGGCAUGCUUGGGUCAGAAUCCAGAGCACACAAUCAGCAUGAUUAUGCUUUUAGGAACACUUAUAGAGGUGCUCCUGGGACCCUGCAAAGAGGAAUAUAUACUUUAAAAGAUACAUGAUAAAAAAAUGUGUUAAUUCCUUGGCAGACACAGUUCAGAGUGGAAAGGGCUGAAAAGUGAAAGUCAAUGGUGUUUGCAGAGAAUUGUGAAGCCACAGGAAGAAAUGAAGUUGAGGCAUGUCAUGCUUCAUCUGCCAAAAGUAGGGCACCCUCCUAGGGGCAAUGUAGAAACAUAAUUUUCCCUUAUUUAAGGAGCCUUAUUUAAAUGGGUUGAAGGCCUCUUUGGACACAGUUUUUCUGCCUAUACUGAUGAUAGGGAGAGCCAGGGUGACAGGCUCAGACAACCUUCUUUUGAACAGCUACAGUCAGAAGAGAUGCUUCUUAGUCCCAGUGUGCACAGCCCCAGGGUUUCAUAGGUUUUGUAGAUGGAGUUGUAACUAUAAUUAUAAUAACUGGAGUUAUGCUGGGAAAAAAUGAGACAAGAAGUAGAGAUGGGAGGAAAGACGAGAAAUCCAUUUUGCAAAGCUGCAAACUGUAUGGGGAGAAAAUAAAGUUGAUUGGUUCUUAUGCCUUUGCUCAGUACUCAGGAGUGUCUUUUAUCCUGGGAGAGCAUUUGAUCCUUACAGAGCAACUGUUCUGUCCAGUUUUGCAUGCCUUUGAACACAGGAGAGACACCUUUGAGCUAAGUUUCCUGAGGGCACAGGAGAGCAGCCUUCUUUCCUUAUCCUGGGUGCAAUGGUCGUGCCUGGCACGGACCUGCCCUUCUCAUCCCUCUCAAAGGCUCUCCAUGAGAAGAGAACAAAGCAAUAAGGCAGAGAGCUCCAGUCUGGUGCAGUGCAAGCUGGAAAGGGCAGAGGAGGGGCUCUGUUAACAGGAUCUGACAUCCCCAUCACGUUUUCUCCUCUCCAUCACUCCCUAUUAGCAUGCACCCCAUUGAAGGUGCCAGGAAAGCCACUUCACAAUAACAUCACCCCACGUGAAUACUAACCUGGAAUGAGAGGAGCCUUGCAAAGGGGAACUGAGAACAUGAUUGCAAAGGCCCAAUGUGACAAUUACCCAAAGGGCAAGGAAGGGACAGGCAGUAGUUUACAUGCACUUUUUCCAUUUCCUUCCACUCCUCCCUUAUGCAAACUUAUUGCAUUUUGUACAGAAGCAAAAAAUAAAAUAAGUGAUUUGGAUUCAAUUCCCUACAAGUCACUGCUCUUCCUGUUAUGCUGGACACAGCAUGGAUGGAUGGAUAAGCAUGUGAUGGAUAAGCAAUAAAUAUAAUGAAUAAAAAAAUACACCCUUGGCUGUAAAUUUGCCAGGAGAAGCCUUGAGAAUCUGGUUUAAAGUAAUUUCCAUUGCACACCCUGUCUCCUGCUCUACUGCCUUUUGCCCAUUGUUCCAGGAAACCUCCUCCAAGGGGCUUUCUUUCUAUUAGGUUAUGGACCUAAUCAUGAAACAAUAAUUCCUCAGGCUCCAGACGGUGCUGAUUACCUUCUAAUGAGAUAAAGUACCCCUCAUCUCUAGGUCAGUGCCUUGAAACCACCUCUAGUUUCUCCAUGGCUAGGAGUGAUCCCAACCUGUUGAUAACAAAAUAUGUUAAUGGUGGUGGAUACUGCUGCCCCAAAGCAAAGUACUUAAAGGAAGAACCUAGAUGAAAUGUUGAAUUUAGGGAAGGAGCAUUAUGAGUUUUAUCUUUAAUUUCUGCUGUUUUUAAUCAGGUCAGUAGCUUAUCUGAAAAUAAAUUCAAAAUUAAUCUUCAACUCAGAGCAAAUACAUCCCAGUGACCAUUUGUGAAGACAUCUCACUGAUAAAUUUGCCAGUAAAUUAUUCUAGAGGGAAAGUGGCAAGGGGAGGGAGGGGUGUAGUAUUAUACCUGUAGUGACAUAAGCAUCAGAAAAGCAAUUAAAAACUAGAAAUGAAAAAUUCAGUAAAAUUAAAAUUUAAUUUAGUACAAUUACAUAAUUUAUUCUUUGAUUAUGUCAUGGUUUUGCAUGAUUAUUAUAUGCAUUUCUAAAUGAUGCUGUAACAAAUAAUGAAAUUCAUUAAAUCCAUGCACCAUAUAACAUAAAAUAUUGAAAGCCAUUUUCAUGAUUUUUCAUUUCAUCAAAAGUUGUAGAAACAAGCUUUUGUUCCAAGAUAGUUUAAACAAAAUAAUAAUUUCCUAUUUUUCUAUGAGUUGGAAAACUGUAUUUCAAUGUCCCUACUAUUUGUGUGUCUGCCUCAUGAGCAAAUACAGAGAUGUACAACUGAAAAACCUGAAGGCCAGGAUGAUGACAUAGUAAAUAUCACAAAAUCAGGCACAAGA
This is a long non-coding RNA of Taeniopygia guttata (zebra finch), 6569 nucleotides long. The record is from Ensembl. NCBI's taxonomy places the organism in Eukaryota, Metazoa, Chordata, Aves, Passeriformes, Estrildidae.